This 1881-nucleotide long non-coding RNA is filed under the name Homo sapiens (human). RNAcentral describes it as "p53 upregulated regulator of p53 levels". Lineage: Eukaryota; Metazoa; Chordata; Mammalia; Primates; Hominidae. The record is from RNAcentral.
AAUGUGUGAGGUGGUGCUAUGUAGCAGGAACCCCUCUUGCUUUGCAAAUAGUUUUUUGUUUGUUUUCCUUUUUGCCCAAUAGAGCCCUGCUCUACUGACCCUUCAAUGUGCCCGUGUGCCUAAAUAUUCCUGGUCGUGUGAAAAGAACCCAGGUAUUAGCUGAACUAAGGAGCACAAUUCUGCAACAUUUUGGCACCCAAACACGGGGCUUGAGAAAUGAAUGCAAUUGGAGAAACUGGUUGUUUUACCAGGCGUUGAUUGGAAAUGUGUGCUUCCCUUUAAGCAGUCAAGCUCAACUUGCAGAACUGAUGGGAACCCCUUGGGAAAACUGGCCUCAAAUGUUUGUCUACACAGUCCACAUACAGGGUUCUUAACCUGCGGUGAGUAAAGAAUGUCACUUUCCAACAGGCCCAGAUAUCAUAUGCUCUUGGGACCUCAAGAAGAGAGGAGUUUACCCAAUUCAUAGGUGUGUGAGGAUAAAAACCUAGGGCUGGGCUCAGCUUUAAAUGGUCUUAUCUGAGAUUCUUUGUGAAACAGAUUUUCAUGAAAGCCAAUCUAGAGGGCCUACGUAGAAAUAAUUGUUUUUGCUGCACUUUAUGCACAUAAUCAAGCCAAUUAUAAGACUAAAGUCUAUAUUGCAAGCAACACACUCCUAUUAUGAUUUGUUUUUAACAGAAAUGAGGACGAGACAGAGAGAAAUUAUGUUUCAAAACUUAUCAUCAUUAGUUUCUAGACUUAUUAUUUCUUUUUAAGUUUUUACCUACAUUUUAGACUGACCCUGCUUGUGCCUGUGAACCAACCAACAAUCUCUGGCUGCAGCUCAGAAAGGACAAAAGAGAAUGGAUGAGGGAAACUUCCCAGGGCUUGUCUGGGUAUGCCCACAGUGGACUGGAGCCCAAAAUGCACACUGGAGGAAGUGGAUGGAGCCACGUGGAUGUCAUGCCUUAUGCAGGGGAGGAGCCUGCUCUCUUCAGCUCCUGUGGUAAUGUGGGAAUCGAUCUGUGAGGAAACACUUUCUGAAAAUGUCAGAACUCUUGAAAACAUGGAUGAGGAAAAGCAUAAGUACUGCUUUAUGCUUUUCUUAUGAAUUUUAAAAGAUGUAAUUUAAAGAUUGAAACUCCCACAACUUUGGCAGACCAACUCCUCAGAAAACAUUAUUCUUUGACAUCAAUAUGUUUUGCACAAAAUUGAAUGGCAAGUGAAAGGCAUCAAAUGGAGCUGUCAUUUAAAUGUGCUUGCCAACUAGCUUGUUUAUCAAAACAUUCCAGACCCUUUCAAAUUCUCAUUUACAUUGUUUCUUGUUUACCACACCCAUAAAUUUGUAUUACCAGCAUAUUUAACUAUCCGGCUAUUUUGGAGAUUGAAAAAAGAAGACCUGAUUUAUCAUGUGCAAUAUCUCACACAUCUGUCAUUUCUAUUCUACCGCAAUUCGAUGGAGUCUUGUUCUGUGGUCCAGGCUAGAGGGCAGUGGCAUGAUCUCGGCUCACUACAAGCUCUGCCUCCCGGGUUCACGCCAUUCUCCUGCCUCAGCCUCCUGAGUAGCUGGGACUACAGGCGCCCGCCACCACGCCUGGCUAAUUUUUUGUAUAUUUACUAGAGAUGGCUAGUGUUAGCCAAGAUGGUCUCGAUCUCCUGACCUCGUGAUCUGCCCACCUCAGCCUGCCAAAGUGCUGGGAUUACUGGCGUGAGCCACCGUGCCUGGCCAGCAUCCUCUAAUUAUUAUUCAUAGUUUGUGAAUUUAGGCCUACGUGAAUAAUAAUAUAAUAUUUACUAUGAUGUUACUAUCUACCAACCUUAUUUUUCUUUUCUAUAAAAUAGGAGCCAAAAUAAUAUUUAUGUCAUACCUUAUGAAGUUAAAAUAAAAUAUAACGAAUGAGGGGC